RNAcentral lists this long non-coding RNA (206 nucleotides) under Populus trichocarpa (black cottonwood). RNAcentral's name for it is "long non-coding RNA (PTRI_LNC002311)". The record is from RNAcentral. Lineage: Eukaryota; Viridiplantae; Streptophyta; Magnoliopsida; Malpighiales; Salicaceae.
ACAUUUGUCCGCAGCAAUGGGACUCAAGGAAAACAAGGAGAGCAAGAUCAAACAAGUUCCAUUGUCCAACAAAGAAGCCAAUAGCCAGAAUUUAUGGCCAGAUCUUCCACAGCAACUUCUCCACUUAAUUAAUAGCACGUGAGUCGACUUCAUUCCGCAACAUUUGUUACAAGGGUGUGACGAAGUCAUGGAGAGCAGAAUCUUAC